UUUUUUUUUUUUAGAAGACUGCUCUAAAACCACUCGUUAUCCCAUAUUAACAUUUUGCUUUAUGCUUAUGUAUACAUGAUUGAGAAGCUGCAAGACCUGGCCAACUAUCAACUCCCGCUGCCUUCAAGAGGAGGAAGCAGCUGUUUGAGAAGAUGCUGCUUCUUGCAGCUGAUAGCUGCUUCCUCUCCACAGACUUGGAUUGCUGCCUCUAAUCUCUACUGCACUAGCUUCCAUUUCAGGAGAACGAAAUGCCUACCAAAGAGAACAGGAGCAUUUCUCUCUUUCUCAGCAUAGAAGAAUGACAUAGAAUGAAGAUGAAACACUGUUCAGUGAUGCCAGUACUUAGCAUCAAUGUUGUUAGAGAAAGACAUAUUAAAGCAGCUGAAAAGAUACUGGAGUGGUCACCUUACAUUCAUGAUCAAACCUUCUUCCUCUAAAAAGAUAAAACAGAUAGGGUUAACAGUACCAGUACUCCAUACAUCUACCACCUGCACACAAGUCAAAAUAUGAGAGGCAGAGUCAUAAGUACUAACGUUAGCAUCAUUUUUAGCUGAUUAUUCUUUUCUGUUGACUCAACCAGAGGUAACUAAAAUGAAUUUGUCUGUCAGAGACAACAUAGGCACAAAGGCAACUAUAUGAGGCAGAUGAACAAAAUCUAUCCAGAAGCUAAGGAGCUCUAGUGAAAACCAAGAAUUCCCUAGCAAAAUUAUAAUGCAUUUACUCCAAAAGAAAUCAAAAUGCAUUAUACAUUUAAUUGACAUUUCUUCCUUACACAAACAGGAGAAAUUCCUCAAAAAUAAAAUCUCUCCAAGAAAGCCAACUGCAACUUCGAGGGCACACAGAUGCCAUGCAAGGUAGUGUUAAUGUCAGAGACAACUGACAUUGUUGUCUAGAACAAAAUCAGUUAGCAUAUUUACAUAGCAUAUUAAAAUACUGUACAGAAACACUAGUUUCAGUCCAAAUAACAGACUAACUUCAUUAGUAGCAUGCUGCGCAUAGGCUAAAUACUUCUUCAUUGCAAGGUGCAGAUAUACUUUUAAAAUUCCCUCUCACUUCUUAUUUUCAAUGUGAACAUCUUCCUCCCAUUAGCUGAGUGCCAUACCUUUGGAACAUCAUUCCAAGUAGAUGUGUAAUAAAUGAAUGACAGCUCUUCUGUCACGGUAUCAUUCAUGUUCAGGUCUACUGUGUUCUUCCUUUACCUUCUUCACUAAUCCAAUACUUUGCUCUUUCUCACAUGGGUAAGAGCUCAAAUUGUGGAUUUAUGGAACCUAAGGCUAUGAAAAAUAUUAUGAUCAUCCAUGCUGACCUCCUGAAUAAUGCAGACAACAGAAUUACACAAUUCCAAACUAAAUGUACAAACUCCUGCUAAACCAACAGUUUACUGUAUCAAAUAACCUCCAAUCCCAAUUGAAAAGACUUCAGGCUUUAAAGAGUCCAUCAUAUUCCUAUACUAUUUGUUCCACUGGUUAAGUACACUGACUAUAAAAUUAAAUCUUAUCUAAAUCUGCCUAACUUCACCUACCAUGCAUCAAACUGCUUAGCUUUUUACCAGAUGCUACCUACCUACCAGAUGCAAGAAAUCUCUAGGUUUCUCAAAGUUUUAAUUAACUCUUUUCUUAACCAACUGCUGUUAAAUCAGCUUUCUAGUUUCUCUCAGUCACGGUGGGCUGAGGAAAAUAAUAUUAACCCAAUUUAGAAAGUAUUUUGGAGAACUAGUAAACACAAGGCUUAUGGAGAAACUUAUAGGCAAAAAUAUACACUGAACACAGGAGGAGAAAGAUAGAAUAACAAGCAACCAUAAAGCUGGAAAAAUGAUCUUGCCUUAGUUAUCUAGUCUGCUUUCAAAAACAUAUCAUCAGACUGAGGAACUUCACCAGUGGAUUUAUUUAAAAUAUUCAGCUGUUUGAAACAAAACUCUGUUUUGAUCACUUAGAGCAAAACUGAACAGAAUUGAAACAGUCUUAUUUGCACAUGAAUUGAAAAUAAAAGCAAAAUUAAGCCCAUUAUAUUAAGAAGGGAUGGCCUCAUUCAAAAUUUUGGCAUUUACCAUGAGUUAAAAUACUAAUUUGUUCUUCAUCUUUCAACAUUAUUUCACAACUUUUUUUUUCGAAUUGUCAUAAGAAGCAUGUUCAUGUAAGUUAAUGUGUAUUGAAAUAAAACCAGCUAAACAGAAUCAAAAUGUUUAAUAUAUUGCCCCAAGGAACUCCUGAGGAAAAGGGCAAGCUUACUUACUUUUAUUAGAAGUUUAGACUGAACUACAGGUUAAAGGUUCUGUAACAUACUAACAACACAGUUUCCUUCAGAGUAUAGUUUUUGGAAGCUUACCAAGACAAAUUUUAACUCCUUGUACAACUCUAACCCUGUUUGCUAUACAAACUUCUUUGCCUCAUUCAUCUCCUUCCAUAAACUCAUAACUGCCACAAGGACUGGAAGUAAAAUUAUUUUUCUAACUCACAGUGAAAACACAAUAUUUAUAAUUUUCUAUAGCUCCAUCCUUUUCCCUACAUGAACAGAUUCCAUCUCCUUUGCAAAACAACAACAUAAACAAUGAAUAAUUAUUAUAUGAAUAUUUUAAAAAUCAAGGUUCUAUACAACAUUGGAUUCUACAAAUUUCCUACAAGUGAGCUAAAAGAAAAUCAUGUUUGACCAAACCAGAUUUCACAUAAAACUGAUAAUUAUACAGGUAUGCUUGAAGAUCUCUGAAAAAAUGCUAAAGCUUCAUGAUGAGCAACAGAAAGAAACAACGUAUGGAACCAGGAAAUUAUUUUACAGAACAAGAAGAAAAAUGCUAUUAGGAUAAAAAUAUAAAAGCAAAGUGAUCUAACCAAUUGUAACCAAUGUAAAAAUAAGACACUCCAUUCAGAGAGAGCAAGGACAUUUCCUGAAGUGUUACAUUAGUCAGAAUAAAGUAGGCCAUUUGAGAGAAGUCUGAAUGAACAGAAAGCUAGAAUUUUAACAAGAAAAUUCACGUUGACCAGCUCUUCAUAUUCCUAGGGACUAUAAACCAGAUGUAAGUUUCAAAUUUUCUAUUUUUUUUUUCCAACAAGUCUAGUUAAUUGCUUAAUUAGGAAUUAUAACAGCUGUACUGUAAGACAGAAAACCACUAAUUAGAAAUAUAAGAGAGACAGGACCUCUAAUGCAAUUUCUGUGCUGGUCUUUCCUAUCUAAUACCACUCUUAAAGGAACACUCUUAUUAGAUGCCUAUAUAAGACUAAAGUUCACAAAAAAUAUUCUUCACAUUUCACUUAUCCCAUGAAUGAUAAUGCAAAUAUCUUGCCUUCUACAAAAAAAA
This 3292-nucleotide long non-coding RNA is filed under the name Strigops habroptila (Kakapo). RNAcentral describes it as "lncRNA (ENSSHBG00005007155.1)". The record is from RNAcentral. Lineage: Eukaryota; Metazoa; Chordata; Aves; Psittaciformes; Psittacidae.